ACGCUCAGAAAGGAGGUGAUCCGGAAGUGAUUUCUUACCGGACAAGCGAGGUGACUGCGGGCUGACGCCUGCCGUCGCACUCUGUGCACCUCGGCAGUCGUCUGCCGAAACCCAAGCAGUCACCCGACCCGUGGGCCGCCGGUAAGUCCGGCCGGCUUCCUCCGUCCGGACGGAGGGACCAAGGCCCACGGGUCGUCUGCG
This 201-nucleotide small RNA is filed under the name Streptomyces pristinaespiralis ATCC 25486. Its description in RNAcentral is "Actinobacteria sRNA Ms_IGR-5". It matches the Rfam family "Actinobacteria sRNA Ms_IGR-5". The record is from Rfam by way of RNAcentral. Lineage: Bacteria; Bacillati; Actinomycetota; Actinomycetes; Kitasatosporales; Streptomycetaceae.